AUUGAACGCUGGCGGCAUGCUUUACACAUGCAAGUCGAACGGCAGCGCGGGCUUCGCUCUCGCGGCGGGUGGCGAACGGGUGAGUAAUGCAUCGGAACGUGCCCAGUAGCUGGUGCUAGGGCGGCGAAAGCCGGAUUAAUACCCCAAACGAGCUGAGGGUGUAAGCGGGGGACCGAAAGACCUUGCGCCAUUGCACGAGCCGAUGUCGGAUUAGCUAGUUGGUGGGGUAAAGGCCUACCAAGGCGACGAUCCGUAGCUGGUCUGAGAGGACGACCAGCCACACUGGGACUGAGACACGGCCCAGACUCCUACGGGAGGCAGCAGUGGGGAAUUUUGGACAAUGGGGGCAACCCUGAUCCAGCCAUGCCGCGUGGGGGAAGAAGGCCUUCGGGUUGUAAACCGCUUUUGUUCGGGAAGAAAAGCUCUGGGCUAAUACCCCGGUGGGAUGACGGUACCGAAAGAAUAAGCACCGGCUAACUACGUG
RNAcentral lists this ribosomal RNA (484 nucleotides) under uncultured bacterium. RNAcentral's name for it is "partial 16S ribosomal RNA". It matches the Rfam family "Bacterial small subunit ribosomal RNA", at positions 29 to 507 of the family's 1533-position model. The record is from RNAcentral.